This 201-nucleotide ribosomal RNA is filed under the name uncultured bacterium. RNAcentral's name for it is "partial 16S ribosomal RNA". It matches the Rfam family "Bacterial small subunit ribosomal RNA", at positions 328 to 539 of the family's 1533-position model. The record is from RNAcentral.
ACGCUCGACACCUACGGGGGGCAGCAGUGGGGAAUAUUGGGCAAUGGGCGCAAGCCUGACCCAGCAACGCCGCGUGAAGGAAGAAGGCCCUCGGGUUGUAAACUUCUUUUGUCAGGGACGAAGCAAGUGACGGUACCUGACGAAUAAGCCACGGCUAACUACGUGCCAGCAGCCGCGGUAAUCUGAGCGGGCUGGCAAGGC